Molecule: RNA transcript, 3016 nt
Organism: Vigna umbellata (rice bean)
Lineage: Eukaryota; Viridiplantae; Streptophyta; Magnoliopsida; Fabales; Fabaceae
Gene name: Pentatricopeptide repeat (PPR) superfamily protein
Source: RefSeq, a predicted model, not a curated record
AACUUAACAGGAGGAUGCUUGAAAAACCCUAAAGUAAAAGCAGGGGUGAGAGAGAGAAGAAAAGAUGAAGGAAGAAGAGGUGGUGGAAGGCAUAAGAAGGAUUCUGCAACAGAAGAAGGAAAAUGGAGAAUUGGAAUCAGAGAAACUAAAAUGUUUGAUCCCUCACCUCACUCAUCCUCUCAUAGACUCCAUUCUCUCAUGCAAGACUCUCCAACCCACCACACUCCUCUCCUUCUUCAAUUGCCUCCAAACCCACGCUCCACCUCCGCUCCGCUCAUCCCCUCACGCGCUUCUCUCCAUUCUCCCUCCCCUCCUCGUCCGCCGCAAAUUCGCCGACGCCAAGUCCCUCCUCAUCUCCUUCAUCUCCUCCGACCGCACCCACGCCCUCCACGCGCUCCUCCUCCGCCCCCGCCGCCCCCUCUCCAAACCUCUCCUCGACACUGCCCUUGGCGCCUACGUUCACACCGGCCACCCCCACCACGCCUAUCAACUCUUCCAAAAAAUGAAACGAUUGCAUUUUACUCCCAACCUCCUCACUUGCAACACCCUCCUCAACUCCCUCGUCCGCUCCCUCUCCUCCCACUCCAACUUUCUCGCCUCCGGCGUCUUCCAUGACGCCGUCGCCCUCGGCGUCAAGCCCAACACCAACACUUUCAACAUCCUCAUCUACGGUCACUGCCGCCAUAAAAAGUUUGACCACGCCCUUGCGCUUGUUCAGCAAAUGCCCGAAUUCGGGUGUUUCCCUGAUAUCGUCACCUACAACACCAUUCUGGAUGCCCUGUGCAAGAAAGGUCAGUUGAAUAAAGUGAGGGAUGUACUUACAGAAAUGAAGAAUGCCGGCUUGGUUCCCAAUAGGAAUACUUAUAAUAUCCUUGUUCAUGGGUAUUGCAGGUUGAAGUGGUUGAAGGAGGCUUCUGAGGUUAUUGACUUGAUGACUAAAGAUGGUAUGUUGCCGGACGUUUGGACUUAUAAUACCUUGGUCAGGGGGUUGUGUGAUGAGGGGAAGAUUGAUGAGGCUAUUAGGGUUAGAGAUGAGAUGGUGAGUUUGAAGUUGAAACCGGAUGUUGUUACUUAUAAUACUUUGAUUGAUGGGUGUUUUAAGUGGUGUGGCAGCGUGGAGGGGUUUAGGUUGAUUGAGGAGAUGAAGUUUAGGGGAGUUGAGAUGAAUGUGGUGACUCACAAUAUAGUGAUUAAGUGGUUAUGUCAAAAAGGUAAGAUUGAUGAGGCCAGUGAUGCUGUGGUGAGGAUGGUGGAGAGUGGGGUUUAUCCCGAUCGUUUUACUUAUAAUACUAUGAUUAAUGGUUAUUGUAAAGCAGGGAAGUUGGGAGAGGCGUUUAAGAUGAUGGAUGAGAUGGCACGGAAGGGUUUGAAGCCAGAUGUUUUUACUCUUAACAGUGUGUUACAUACUUUGUGUACGGAGAAGAAGGUUGAAGAGGCGUAUGAGUUAACUGUGCAGGCUGGGAAGCGGGGUUAUGUUCUUGAUGAGGUGACCUAUGGAACUCUGAUCAUGGGGUACUUUAAGGCUGAGCAAGGAGGCAAAGCGUUGAAGCUUUGGGAGGAGAUGAAGGGAAGAGGGAUUCUUCCUAGUGUUGUCACUUACAACACUCUAAUCAGAGGCUUAUGCCUGUCUUGGAAAACUGAUCAGGCAGUGGAUAAAUUGAAUGAGCUUUUGGAGAAGGGUUUGGUCCCUGAUGAGUCUACAUGUAACAUCGUUAUUCGUGGUUAUUGCUGGGAGGGAAUGGUAGAGAAAGCGUUUGAGUUUCAUAACAAAAUGGUAGGGAAGUCCUUCAAACCAGAUAUCUUUACACGUAAUAUUCUCCUUCAAGGACUCUGUAGAGAGGGCAUGCUGGAGAAAGCUGUUAAACUCUUUAACUCAUGGGUCUCUAAAGAGGCUUCCGUUGAUGUAGUUACAUACAACACAUUGAUAUCAGCCCUUUGCAAAGAAGGGAGACUGGAGGAAGCAUUUGAUCUUAUAACUGAAAUGGAAGGUAAAAAUUUGGAGCCUGACCGGUAUACAUAUAAUGCCAUUGUUAAUGCGCUUACACAUGCUGGUAGGACUGAGGAAGCUGAGAAAUUCAUGUCAAAACUUUUAGAGGCAGGGCAAGAUAUGAAACCUCAUGAAACUUCCCAAGAGCUUGAUGCUUCGGGUGAUAUUAUGUACUCAGAGAAAAUAAAUGAUUUGUGUACCCAGGGGAAGUACAAGGAGGCAAUGAAACUAUUUCAAGAGUCAGAAGAGAAGGGAAUUGGUUUAAAUAAAUAUACGUAUAUCAAGUUAAUUGAUGGGUUUUUGAAGAGGCGAAAAAGCGUAUCCAAGGUUGCCCAACCAAAUUGAAACAAUAAAUUGGCUAUGUAAUCAUUAUGGCAUUGGAUCUGGGAUGCUCAUAAUGCUGAAGCAUGUUGUAGAGGUGCUGUUAUGAUGACACUGAAUAAUUUCAUUUUCAGACAUAUUGUUCCGUAUCUGAAGGGAGAUGUAAGGUUGUCUUAGUAGUAAAAGUGGAAGAGAGAAAGGGACAGUCUUGGGUUCGUUUGAGUUACCCCCUCUCGGCUAACAAAAGCUAACAUAUGCUAAUCUAAAAAAAUUUAGUUUCAGUGUAAAUGUCUUUCAAUUUUAUUUGCGAAUCUAGUGAUUAUAGUGGUGAUUUUGCAUUUCUUUCUUUACGCUUAAAUGAUGUGAACUUCUUCAUUUGAUCUUUGUGCAGAAUUGAUGCAUAAAGUUAAAUUUUUUAUUAUUUCCAAAGAGACCAUAUCAAGUUUGUUAGACCUUGUGUCACCCAUCAUUGGCUUCCUCUUAGUCCUAUGCUUAAGAUGUUCAGUCCUCAGUGUGAGGAAGUACGUUGAAGAACCUACAGCAAUUAGAGAUAAAAGACCAACUUAUAGUGUAUAGGUGGGUUAAACCUCAACUUACCAAGCAAAUUUUGUAAUGUUGAAUUUGGUUCAAAUUCUACUUUCUUAAGAAUUAUAUUUAUAAAUUGAUGCAGCACAUACGAGAAUAAAAUAAAAAAUUUCCAACAUCCUA